GCACAUUUUCAUGUCCUUUAUCUGACCCAUUUUGACCUUCCUUUCUCUAUAACCCUCGAUAGCACAGUUCCAGUUGUAGAUAGAUAACCAUUUAUGGCAUUUGCUUCGCUUGACUACAAAAAAUAUUAUAUAUAAAAUUCCAACUUCUGGCUCCCAUUCACGGUCUCUCAUCUCUUAUUGUUUUUUGUCACCCAUUUUAAGGCGUCUCUUUAAAAGACUGCAAAUAUGCCGACUUCCCAACACACAAUCAAUAUCUGCGUAAAGUCCAAGAACCUUAGCUCCAUGCAUACCCAUCCCUCUCACAGGGCUGCCUACUUUCUUGAUCAAACCACCCAUUUCUAUGUUUAAUGCCUUCAUAACCAAAACUACUGAUCCAUGAAGUUCUUACUCACCAUGACCCUUGCACACUUGCAUUUUAUUUAGUAUCUCUUUCUCUCUCUCUCCCUCUUAUCUUCUUCUUCUUCUUCU
Molecule: unclassified non-coding RNA, 468 nt
Filed under: Hevea brasiliensis (rubber tree)
Lineage: Eukaryota; Viridiplantae; Streptophyta; Magnoliopsida; Malpighiales; Euphorbiaceae
Source: RNAcentral